AUGCUUAACACUUUGUUAAAAUUUUAUCAGGAAAACUUUGAGAUAACAUCAGAUCAAGAAGCAGCUGUAGUAAUAAACAUUGCACAGUCUCUGUCGAAAGAUUUGAAAGCUUUUUGUGAAAAGAAAGCAACUCUCAAGUAUAUUAAAACUCUUCCAUCGUUGAUGUCACAAGGGGAAAUAAAUGAAAGUCAGCAUAAUCCUGUCAAACCAUUUGAAAGUAACAAAGACCAACCAGGAGAUGGUUGGACUAAGCAUGGAGGUCUGACAGAGGGACUUGCAAAGUUACAGGCCCUAUUACAACAGGUGCCAAUUACUUCACACACCCGUGCUGAUUCAUCUGACUACCGACUGGGGAGGAAAACUUCUUUACAUGGCCUGUAUUCUAACGAUCUUGCAACAGUGUCUGCUCUUAAAGGUUCGCUUGCCUUUCAACCAGGAAGCUUUCAUUCUGGAAUGAAUAAGUGGAUGAAAGAAUUCAACCAGUCUGCUUCGACUUAUUUCCAGUCAACCCCAGCUGAAGAAGAGUCUCCCCACUUUAGAUCAGCACGAAGAAACUACAUGACGAAACGUAAUCAGGAUGGUAACAUAGAUAGUAGAAUAAAAAGCUGGGAUAAAGUAAAGGAGUCACAUGAUUCAAAAGCACAUCCUCUUAACCUCAUCUCAUAUCCUCCUCCAAAACGUUAUCAGGCAGGUUACCCUUCAGAAAGAAAAUCCUCAAGGUAUCAUGAUGAGCAUGGAAAUAGAAAUGAGAUGCCUUCGCCUUCCUGUUCUUCUGAAAGCAGGGGGUCUAGCUGGCCACAACAACCAGACUACCAUCGAUCAAUCCCUGACAACAAUCUGGGAUCUUAUCCCUCUUCUUCUAGUGGACGUUCACACAGAAAUUACCACCAGCAGAAUGCACAACUAGAUCGUGUAAUGGAUGGUAACAGCAGUGAUCUUAUUACCAACAUUAUGAAUCAGAUUCGAGGACAGGAUGCUGCUACAUUGGUGAGCAUACUCGAGCAGUUGCUGCCGCAUUACCCGGAUCUUCAAAAAAUAAAUAUUCAUGCACUCGCCCAAGCUCUGAGUGAAAUGAAUUAA
Pogona vitticeps (central bearded dragon) is the source of this 1080-nucleotide long non-coding RNA. The record is from Ensembl. Lineage: Eukaryota; Metazoa; Chordata; Lepidosauria; Squamata; Agamidae.